UGCAGUCUAGGAGAAGUUGUCUUCGGAUGAUUAUUAAACUGGCGAACGGGUGAGUAACGCGUAGGCAACCUACCUUUAAGUUUGGAAUAAUCUCGGGAAACUGGACUAAUACCGAAUAAGGUAUUCAUGCAUAAGUGUGGAUAUUAAAGUGGCUUCGGCCACGCUUUUGGAUGGGCCUGCGUCUGAUUAGCUUGUUGGUGAGGUAAUGGCUUACCAAGGCUACGAUCAGUAGCUGGUCUGAGAGGAUGAUCAGCCACACUGGGACUGAGAUACGGCCCAGACUCCUACGGGAGGCAGCAGUGGGGAAUAUUGCGCAAUGGACGAAAGUCUGACGCAGCAACGCCGCGUGAUCGAUGAAGCUUUAAGGAGUGUAAAGAUCUGUCCUAGGGGAAGAAUAAGUUGGAGAGGUAAUGCUUCAACUCUGACGGUACCUUAGAAGAAAGCGCCGGCUAACUUCGUGCCAGCAGCCGCGGUAAUACGAGGGGCGCAAGCGUUAUCCGGAUUUAUUGGGCGUAAAGGGGGCGCAGGCGGAAAAUCAAGUUGGAACUUAAAGACCUUGGCUUAACCAAGGGAGUGGUUCCAAAACUGGUUUUCUAGAGUUCGAGAGAGGGAAGUGGAAUUCCUGGUGUAGCGGUGGAAUGCGUAGAUAUCAGGAGGAACACCGGUGGCGAAGGCGGCUUCCUGGCUCGAUACUGACGCUGAGGCCCGAAAGCGUGGGUAGCAAACAGGAUUAGAUACCCUGGUAGUCCACGCCGUAAACGAUGAGAACUUGGUGACGGAGGCUUCAUCCCCUUCGGUGCCGUAGCAAAUGCGUUAAGUUCUCCGCCUGGGGACUACGGUCGCAAGGCUGAAACUCAAAGGAAUUGACGGGGGCCCGCACAAGCGGUGGAACAUGUGGUUUAAUUCGAUGCAACGCGAAGAACCUUACCUGGCCUUGACAUGUUAGUGAAAGUUCCGUGAAAGCGGAAUCCUCUGAGAGCUUGCUCGAUGACACUAUCACAGGUGGUGCAUGGCUGUCGUCAGCUCGUGUCGUGAGAUGUUGGGUUAAGUCCCGCAACGAGCGCAACCCCUUUCCUUAUUUGCCAUCAGGUUAAGCUGGGCACUAUAAGGAUACUGCAUGCGUUAAGCAUGAGGAAGGUGGGGAUGACGUCAAGUCAGUAUGUCCCUUACGGCCAGGGCUACACACGUGUUACAAUGACCGGUACAGAGGGCUGCGAAAUCGCAAGGUCAAGCUAAUCCCUUAAAACCGGUCUAAGUUCGGAUUGAAGUCUGCAACUCGACUUCAUGAAGUUGGAAUCGCUAGUAAUCGCGGAUCAGCACGCCGCGGUGAAUACGUUCCCGGGCCUUGUACACACCGCCCGUCACGCCACGGAAGUUGGUAGUGCCGUAAGCCAGUCGCCUAACCCUUCGG
This 1411-nucleotide ribosomal RNA is filed under the name uncultured bacterium. RNAcentral's name for it is "bacterial SSU rRNA". It matches the Rfam family "Bacterial small subunit ribosomal RNA". The record is from RNAcentral.